This 497-nucleotide ribosomal RNA is filed under the name uncultured bacterium. RNAcentral's name for it is "partial 16S ribosomal RNA". It matches the Rfam family "Bacterial small subunit ribosomal RNA", at positions 28 to 507 of the family's 1533-position model. The record is from RNAcentral.
GAUGAACGCUGGCGGCGUGCCUAAUACAUGCAAGUCGAGCGAACAGACGAGGAGCUUGCUCCUCUGACGUUAGCGGCAGACGGGUGAGUAACACGUGGAUAACCUACCUAUAAGACUGGGAUAACUUCGGGAAACCGGAGCUAAUACCGGAUAAUAUAUUGAACCGCAUGGUUCAAUAGUGAAAGACGGUUUUGCUGUCACUUAUAGAUGGAUCCGCGCCGCAUUAGCUAGUUGGUAAGGUAACGGCUUACCAAGGCAACGAUGCGUAGCCGACCUAAGAGGGUGAUCGGCCACACUGGAACUGAGACACGGUCCAGACUCCUACGGGAGGCAGCAGUAGGGAAUCUUCCGCAAUGGGCGAAAGCCUGACGGAGCAACGCCGCGUGAGUGAUGAAGGUCUUCGGAUCGUAAAACUCUGUUAUUAGGGAAGAACAAAUGUGUAAGUAACUAUGCACGUCUUGACGGUACCUAAUCAGAAAGCCACGGCUAACUACGUG